AAAACAUAUAUGAUCACGUUCUAAAGAGCAGUGGUUUGAUUGGAGGCCAGCUUGAUGAAAUUUUGAACAGCACUGCGGCCAUACUUUUGUAUUCACAAGAGUGUGAACCUGACAACAUGGAUGAUGUAAGUCAAGUUAUCAUUGGAUCAAAUGAUUUUGAGGCUGAUUAUGUCUCUCUAGACAGAUGAAUGUUUUACAUUGUUAUAGCUUUUCAUCUGUGAAUAUUUAUUUUAUCUUUUUUUAUCAAACAGCUUGAGGAACUCAUCACUCUUGCUGGCCACAUUUAUGGGAGAGCACUAACUGUUGAUGGUAACAUUGUCAAGGAAAUUCCAACAGGCACCAUUUAUGUCACCAGGCAAGAUUCAAGCACCCUUGGUGGAAAAACUGUUGGCUCAAAGGAUGGAGGAUUUUGCCAACUUCCAACUCUUUCUGCAAUGACAAAUCAACUGCCCACUGGGAAUAUCAAUGUCCAGCUCUUCCAAUUUAUAGAGAAUCCAGUGGAAUUAAAGUCCAACGAAAGCAUCACCGGAACAACUUUCAGCUUAUCUUUGCAGAAUGAAAACUCUUCAAUCAAAUUCAAAAAUCUUGCAGAGAACAUUGAGAUAUAUCUACCUCGACCUGAAGCUUCUGAGCCUGAAGUUGUGGAUAUAGUCUGGAAACCAGGGUUUACUGUCACCUCAUCAUUCAACAUCUCAGACGCAAAUGUGACUGUGGUUGUUACAGCAAUCCCAAAUCAAAAUACAACUCUGAGUUUUACUUUGCACCCACCAGAAGCGGCAAAUACCACCUAUUUGAAUCAAAGCACUAAUAUUACCU
This is a long non-coding RNA of Cyprinus carpio (common carp), 816 nucleotides long. RefSeq lists it as uncharacterized. The record is from RefSeq and is a predicted model, not a curated record. The transcript has 4 exons. Lineage: Eukaryota; Metazoa; Chordata; Actinopteri; Cypriniformes; Cyprinidae.